RNAcentral lists this ribosomal RNA (467 nucleotides) under uncultured bacterium. RNAcentral describes it as "partial 16S ribosomal RNA". It matches the Rfam family "Bacterial small subunit ribosomal RNA", at positions 28 to 507 of the family's 1533-position model. The record is from RNAcentral.
GAUGAACGCUGGCGGCGUGCUUAACACAUGCAAGUCGAACGGAAAGGCCCAAGCUUGCUUGGAUACUCGAGUGGCGAACGGGUGAGUAACACGUGGGUGAUCUGCCCUGCACUUCGGGAUAAGCCUGGGAAACUGGGUCUAAUACCGGAUAGGACCACUUCUUGGAUGUUGUGGUGGAAAGUUUUUUCGGUGUGGGAUGAGCUCGCGGCCUAUCAGCUUGUUGGUGGGGUAAUGGCCUACCAAGGCGUCGACGGGUAGCCGGCCUGAGAGGGUGUACGGCCACAUUGGGACUGAGAUACGGCCCAGACUCCUACGGGAGGCAGCAGUGGGGAAUAUUGCACAAUGGGCGCAAGCCUGAUGCAGCGACGCCGCGUGGGGGAUGACGGCCUUCGGGUUGUAAACUCCUUUCGCUAGGGACGAAGCGUUUUGUGACGGUACCUGGAGAAGAAGCACCGGCUAACUACGUG